Non-coding RNA from Armillaria mellea, 81 nucleotides. NCBI's taxonomy places the organism in Eukaryota, Fungi, Basidiomycota, Agaricomycetes, Agaricales, Physalacriaceae. The record is from the annotation of a GenBank genome assembly.
UGCCCCAUGGCUGAGUUGGUUACAGCGUCCGACUGUUAAGGUUCAAUCGGAAGGUCGAGAGUUCGAGCCUCUCUGGGGCAG